RNAcentral lists this transfer RNA (71 nucleotides) under Apteronotus rostratus. RNAcentral's name for it is "tRNA-Ser". It matches the Rfam family "tRNA". From Rfam's summary of the family: Transfer RNA (tRNA) molecules are approximately 80 nucleotides in length. Lineage: Eukaryota; Metazoa; Chordata; Actinopteri; Gymnotiformes; Apteronotidae. The record is from RNAcentral.
GAGAUUGUGGCAGAGUGGUUAUGCAGUUGGCUUGAAACCAUCUUAUGGGGGUUCAAUUCCUUCCUUUCUCG